RNAcentral lists this ribosomal RNA (103 nucleotides) under Butyricicoccus pullicaecorum. RNAcentral's name for it is "partial 16S ribosomal RNA". It matches the Rfam family "Bacterial small subunit ribosomal RNA", at positions 1440 to 1533 of the family's 1533-position model. The record is from RNAcentral. Lineage: Bacteria; Bacillati; Bacillota; Clostridia; Eubacteriales; Butyricicoccaceae.
CGCAAGGAGGACGCGGCCGAAGGUAGGACUGGUAAUUAGGGUGAAGUCGUAACAAGGUAGCCGUAUCGGAAGGUGCGGCUGGAUCACCUCCUUUCUAAGGAGA